Molecule: non-coding RNA, 373 nt
Organism: Cinara cedri
Lineage: Eukaryota; Metazoa; Arthropoda; Insecta; Hemiptera; Aphididae
Source: the annotation of a GenBank genome assembly
UCGCGUACAAAGCGAACGAAUCCGAGCGUGAGCGAAUGCGCCCGUUCGUGUUUACCCAGACCAUUCACACCGAUUCUUUCGCCAGCGUUCGCGUUCGUUCGUUCGUUCGAGUUCGUACACGGUCCGAAUUGCGCAAGACCCGAUUUCAUGGCGCACGUGGUGUAUAUAACGGGGCGUUUUUUGAUUACCACCGAGUUAGCGUACACCGCGGUAUUAUGGUCACGCAUAGCGUACCCCUUGUUCCGCCUUGUACGUGCAUGUUGUCGCGAAUCUCGUAAUGUUGUUGUUUUUAGAUAGAGUCCACGUCAAUUAAUACAACGUGUUAUUAUUCAAACCGACUCACUACGGCGACGCCGGUCGUGUGACUACUCGU